UACGUAGGGUGCGAGCGUUAAUCGGAAUUACUGGGCGUAAAGCGUGCGCAGGCGGUUCUAUAAGACAGAGGUGAAAUCCCCGGGCUCAACCUGGGAACUGCCUUUGUGACUGUAGAGCUCGAGUACGGCAGAGGGGGAUGGAAUUCCGCGUGUAGCAGUGAAAUGCGUAGAUAUGCGGAGGAACACCGAUGGCGAAGGCAGUCCCCUGGGCCUGUACUGACGCUCAUGCACGAAAGCGUGGGGAGCAAACAGG
Molecule: ribosomal RNA, 253 nt
Filed under: uncultured bacterium
Lineage: Bacteria
Description: partial 16S ribosomal RNA
Rfam family: Bacterial small subunit ribosomal RNA
Source: RNAcentral